GCUGAAGAGAGGAGCUUGCUCCUUCUUGGAUGAGUUGCGAACGGGUGAGUAACGCGUAGGUAACCUGCCUGGUAGCGGGGGAUAACUAUUGGAAACGAUAGCUAAUACCGCAUAAAAUGGAUUAUCGCAUGAUAAUGCAUUGAAAGGUGCAAAUGCAUCACUACCAGAUGGACCUGCGUUGUAUUAGCUAGUUGGUGGGGUAACGGCUCACCAAGGCGACGAUACAUAGCCGACCUGAGAGGGUGAUCGGCCACACUGGGACUGAGACACGGCCCAGACUCCUACGGGAGGCAGCAGUAGGGAAUCUUCGGCAAUGGACGGAAGUCUGACCGAGCAACGCCGCGUGAGUGAAGAAGGUUUUCGGAUCGUAAAGCUCUGUUGUAAGAGAAGAACGAGUGUGAGAGUGGAAAGUUCACACUGUGACGGUAUCUUACCAGAAAGGGACGGCUAACUACGUGCCAGCAGCCGCGGUAAUACGUAGGUCCCGAGCGUUGUCCGGAUUUAUUGGGCGUAAAGCGAGCGCAGGCGGUUAGAUAAGUCUGAAGUUAAAGGCUGUGGCUUAACCAUAGUACGCUUUGGAAACUGUUUAACUUGAGUGCAAGAGGGGAGAGUGGAAUUCCAUGUGUAGCGGUGAAAUGCGUAGAUAUAUGGAGGACACCGGUGGCGAAGCGGCUCUCUGGC
Molecule: ribosomal RNA, 681 nt
Filed under: uncultured Bacilli bacterium
Lineage: Bacteria; Bacillati; Bacillota; Bacilli
Description: bacterial SSU rRNA
Rfam family: Bacterial small subunit ribosomal RNA
Source: RNAcentral